This is a non-coding RNA of Triticum aestivum (bread wheat), 124 nucleotides long. NCBI's taxonomy places the organism in Eukaryota, Viridiplantae, Streptophyta, Magnoliopsida, Poales, Poaceae. The record is from Rfam.
CAACUACUACCUCUGUCCCAAAUUUCUUGUCUUAGAUUUGUCUAGAUACCGAUGUAUCUGUGACUUGAUACAUCCGUAUCUAGACAAGUCUAAGACAAGAAUUUUGGGAUGGAGGGAGUACUUU